Molecule: long non-coding RNA, 1252 nt
Organism: Peromyscus eremicus (cactus mouse)
Lineage: Eukaryota; Metazoa; Chordata; Mammalia; Rodentia; Cricetidae
Exons: 7
Source: RefSeq, a predicted model, not a curated record
ACGAACCUCACAGGAGAGGCACAUCCACCAGAAUCCAUCAGUGGCUGUGAUCUUCGAAAGGUCCUCUUGUAUAUACUUCACUGAGAUUUUAUAUAGUUUCCUUUAAGGAUCACCUAUAAUUUCCUUUCUCAAUAUAGCAAGGUCAAUUGGAAAAAAAAAAUUUGAAAGGCAAAUACUGUGGUUAUCCAGAUAACCAUCACCUGUUUGGGAAAGAAAUAAACCUUUGUGCUGGUUAGAUUUUAUUUUCAACUUGACAUAAACUCGAGUCACCUGGGGAGAGAGAACUUCAAUUGAAGCAUGGCCCAGAGAGGACUGAUGUCUGGCUGUGUCUAUUGACAGUUCCCUAGGGGGACAGCAGAAGUAACUUUAGACGUGCCCUGACGGAGGCAAGUCAGCUCAUUAGGCGCUGCCUUCACAGCACUUUACCUUCAGCUCACAGAUGGAGACAAGGGCUCUUUGAAGGCGAUUUCGAGGCAGAUUCGCGUGGAGCAGCAUAAGUGGGGUUUCUGAGCUCAAUCUGGAGAGACAAGAGAUUCUCAGAGCGUGAGAACCGGGUAAAUCACGACAUGAAUCUCCACGCCAGCUGCUGAUAAACCGUGGCUUAGCUCUUAGGAUAAAAGUUGCAGAUACGCUUCCCUGGAACCAGGACAGGCAGAUGUCCCCAAGUCGUAUUAGGACACCACGAAGCAUCCCCAGUUAAUGAUACUUGCCCAGUGAAGAUUUUCUCACAGUACAAAUAACUGAAAAUUGUGAAUCAACCUAACUCAAGACCUAACAAUACCACUCCUGGGCAUAUACCCAAAAUAUGCUUAAUCAUAUCACAAGGACAUUUACUUGACUAUGUUCGUAGCAGCAUUAUCAAUAAUAGCCAGAACCUGGAAACAACCGAGAUGCCCCUCAACUGAAGAAUGGAUAAAGAAUAUGGUACAUUUACACAAUGGAGUAUUACACAGUGGCAAAAAAAAAAACGACAUCAUGAAAUUUGUAGGCAAAUGGAUGGAACUAGAAAAAAUCAUCCUGAAUGAGCUGCCAGCUUCCAAGUAUUCUGCACAGAGCUGUUCCUGUCACUGAUAAGAAGCAUUUUACUUCUACUUCUAGUUCGGUGACCUGACUACCAAAGUAAUCGAUUACUCACUACACGAUGACUCGUACCAUCCAUAUCUUCACAAGGACAGACUGCCAACAACAGCAUUUCUUUGGUCAGCAUUAAUAUAUUCCUAUUUUUAUUUUAAGUAAAAACUUCGAAUCAAAA